Molecule: long non-coding RNA, 1721 nt
Organism: Panicum virgatum (switchgrass)
Lineage: Eukaryota; Viridiplantae; Streptophyta; Magnoliopsida; Poales; Poaceae
Exons: 5
Source: RefSeq, a predicted model, not a curated record
UCCCCACCUCCCCAUCCUCCGGAUCCAAUCCGGAUCGACGCGGAGAGGGGAGGGCGACGGUGCACGGAGGGGGCGAACGACGGUGUGCGAUGCGACGGCACAUCGACGGCUCAGUUCCGAGUUGCGAGGUGCCACAAGAUCUCGCUGCAGCGUCGUCGUCCAUGUCGCUGUGGCCGACGACGACAUGCUGCUCGACGCUGCGGCCCUCUCCUUUGUGUUCACCGCCUGGAAGCAGCAGCAGCAGUAUCUGGCGGCGGCCGGCCCCCUCAUCGGCUUCUUCCCUGGUUGCACCACCUCGACCUCACCCGCGGGAAGUGGGCGACCACGAUGGUCUACUGAGUUUUGACCUGAGAAAGCAAAUUCUGUUUUCCGAUGUGAACUAGCACAUCCUUGUAUGUGUAGCCCUGAUUUCCUUGGGUACUCAAUCUGAAUGCAAUCUGAGUUAUCUGGUUGUUCACCUUGAUGGAUUGCCCUAUCUUGGAUGCUAUUUGUGACAAAGACAAAACUUAUAUAUUAGUGGAAGUGACAUUCUUUAUCAAGAUGUGUUGUCUCGUUGAGUAGUGCGUUGACUUGUAUUGUCCUUAAUACAAACAUGACCCACAAUUUGAAGUCAUUCGAUGACACUUUUGUAUGGUUUUCAGUAAGUGACCUAGAUGGUGUUGCUCCUUGUCUCUGUUUUCACUUGGAAAAAUAUCAGUACCAGUUGUCUGUUCUAUAAGUGAUACUAUUUCUUUCUUAGGUGUUGUCACUUGAGUUACCACCUACCUGCUGAAGUCUCUUGGUGCUAAACUGUUGAUGUCAUAUUUUGCAACUCCUUGGUUGUUUUUGAGCCUUCUUUUUUCAUUUUUUCUGAUUUAUGUCCUAUGGUAAGCGUUUGUGGCGUUGACAUCCCAAGAUUUUGCCAUCCAUCUGAACAGAGUCCUGCUAUGUAAUUCCAUCUGAAUAUUAGUCAUGGUGGCAACGGGAAACCAUGGAUGUGGACAAUUUGGUGCCAUGUUUGCUUUUCUUUUGUUUUCUUAAGCACGAGUUGAUUCUAGUGAUGCUUUGUUAUCUACUAUUUUUAAUUUCUCAAGUCAAGGGACUAUCUAGAUAGACUGUCAUAGCUUCCUGUUUACCUUUGUUUAUGCUAAAUGCAGUAAAUUCUUUCAUACUGCUUGUUAUCUUCGUAUGAUAUUCAAAUGUGUCCUAAUAUCUCCCCAUUGAUUCAGGUUUCAACGAAAUGAACUGGCAUGGAUGUUUUAACGAAUUGGGAAGCUACUAGAUGUUUCAGGUCUAGAACACUCACAUUUCCAUGGAGUUGAAAGGCUUUGACAGUUUACCUACUGCAAGUGACUUCUACAAGUUUGGAUUAAGAAGACUCUCUCCUAGAUGCUACUAUAUGUUACCAGAUGCUGAGUUAUGUCAUGUGAUCUAUGAAAUGUUGACAUGAGUUGAGUACUGUAUUGUUUAUUCCCUGUAUCUGCAGCAUCAUUGUUUCUACAGUUUGGAUUAACAAACUAGUCGUGCUUUGGGUCCAUGGGGAAGUCGUAUUUUCCUCAUGAAUAUUUGCUAGUUAGUGAUAAGAAGAAAACCAUAUAGGAAUUGAUCUCAAAAGCUAGAGAGGAGGUAUGUUAAAUUAUUGCAACGGUGCAUUGUGGGACAAUUUGUAUGUGCCGGAUGUGGAAAGUUUGUAUGUUUGAUGAGUUGCUGCUGGUAAAUUUAAUUGUUGAAAUCCUGUUGAA